RNAcentral lists this ribosomal RNA (495 nucleotides) under uncultured bacterium. Its description in RNAcentral is "partial 16S ribosomal RNA". It matches the Rfam family "Bacterial small subunit ribosomal RNA", at positions 28 to 507 of the family's 1533-position model. The record is from RNAcentral.
GAUGAACGCUGGCGGCGUGCCUAAUACAUGCAAGUAGAACGCUGACGGAGGAGCUUGCUCUUCUGGAUGAGUUGCGAACGGGUGAGUAACGCGUAGGUAACCUGCCUGGUAGCGGGGGAUAACUAUUGGAAACGAUAGCUAAUACCGCAUGACAACAGUUAUUGCAUGAUAACUGUUUAAAAGGGGCAACUGCUCCACUACCAGAUGGACCUGCGUUGUAUUAGCUAGUUGGUGAGGUAACGGCUCACCAAGGCGACGGUACAUAGCCGACCUGAGGGGGUGAACGGCCACACUGGGACUGGGACACGGCCCCGAAUCCUACGGGAGGCAGCAGUAGGGAAUCUUCGGAAAUAGACGGAAGUCUGACCGAGCAACGCCGCGUGAGGGAAGAAGGUUUUCGGAUCGGAAAGCUCUGUUGUAAGGGAAGAAAGAGUGUGAGAGUGGAAAGUUCACACUGUGACGGUAUCUUACCAGAAAGGGACGGCUAACUACGUG